This 406-nucleotide unclassified non-coding RNA is filed under the name Pyrodictium brockii. RNAcentral describes it as "16S-23S intergenic ribosomal RNA spacer". The stretch from base 151 to 258 matches the Rfam family "Salmonella enterica Typhi npcRNA 44". The record is from RNAcentral. Lineage: Archaea; Thermoproteati; Thermoproteota; Thermoprotei; Desulfurococcales; Pyrodictiaceae.
GGGGUGAAGUCGUAACAAGGUAACCGUAGGGGAACCUGCGGUUGGAUCACCUCCUUACCUUAAAGAACCUGCCUUUGUAGUGCUCACACAGAUUGUCUGAUGAAUGAAGAACUUCUGAAUGUACUUUUGAGUGCAUUAAGAAGUUUUGCUCUUUAAAAAUCUGGAUCAAGCUGAAAAUUGAAACGACACACAGUUAAUGUGUGUUCGAGUCUCUCAAAUUUUCGCAAUUUGAUGAUGAAUCGAAAGAAACAUCUUCGGGUUGUGAGGUUAAGCGACUAAGCGUACACGGUGGAUGCCCUGGCAGUCAGAGGCGAUGAAGGACGUGCUAAUCUGCGAAAAGCGCCGGCGAGGUGAUAUGAACCUUUGACCCGGUGAUGUCCGAAUGGGGAAACCCAGUGUGUUCCGA